GACGAACGCUGGCGGCGUGCUUAACACAUGCAAGUCGAACGGAAAGGCCCUGCUUUUGUGGGGUGCUCGAGUGGCGAACGGGUGAGUAACACGUGAGUAACCUGCCCUUGACUUUGGGAUAACUUCAGGGAACUGGGGCUAAUACCGGAUAGGAGCUCCUGCUGCAUGGUGGGGGUUGGAAAGUUUCGGCGGUUGGGGAUGGACUCGCGGCUUAUCAGCUUGUUGGUGGGGUAGUGGCUUACCAAGGCUUUGACGGGUAGCCGGCCUGAGAGGGUGACCGGCCACUUUGGGACUGAGAUACGGCCCAGACUCCUACGGGAGGCAGCAGUGGGGAAUAUUGCACAAUGGGCGGAAGCCUGAUGCAGCAACGCCGCGUGCGGGAUGACGGCCUUCGGGUUGUAAACCGCUUUCGCCUGUGACGAAGCGUGAGUGACGGUAAUGGGUAAAGAAGCACCGGCUAACUACGU
Molecule: ribosomal RNA, 467 nt
Filed under: uncultured bacterium
Lineage: Bacteria
Description: partial 16S ribosomal RNA
Rfam family: Bacterial small subunit ribosomal RNA
Source: RNAcentral